This 406-nucleotide ribosomal RNA is filed under the name uncultured bacterium. RNAcentral's name for it is "partial 16S ribosomal RNA". It matches the Rfam family "Bacterial small subunit ribosomal RNA", at positions 30 to 526 of the family's 1533-position model. The record is from RNAcentral.
AUUGAACGCUGGCGGCAGGCCUAACACAUGCAAGUCGAGCGAGCGGCGGACGGGUGAGUAAUGUCUGGGAAACUGCCUGAUGGAGGGGGAUAACUACUGGAAACGGUAGCUAAUAACGCAUACUAUUAGAUGUGCUCAGAUGGGAUUAGCUAGUGGGUGGGGUAACGGCUCAACCAGGCGACGAUCCCUAGCUGGUCUGAGAGGCUGACCAGCCACACUGGAACUGAGACACGGUCCAGACUCCUACGGGAGGCAGCAGUAGGGAAUAUUGCCCAAUGGGCGCAAGCCUGAUGCAGCCAUGCCGCGUGUGUGAAGAAGGCCUUCGGGUUGUAAAGCACUUUCAGCGGGGAGGCGUUACCCGCAGAAGAAGCACCGGCUAACUCCGUGCCAGCAGCCGCGGUAAUUC